GUUUAUUUACAAUCUUCUACAAAUCAAAGAGGCCACCACAUGGGCUAUUCAUUCAAGCAAAAAAACACAAAAUAAUUGCAUACAAACUAAAGAGGCAUUUUAGCACUCAAACAAAAGAUCCUAUCCAACAAAACCACAACUUCUACAAAAAUAAACCCAAGUCUAACAAACAAAAAACACACUAUCUUAAUCUAACCAAAAAACACGGGUAUCAAGGCAAAAGUCUGGAGUCUGGGAAAAAACAAAGGGUGCUGCUGUCAGAGAGGCUCCCCUCAUCACUGCCUGCCGCCAAGAUUUAAAAUGGUUGACAGCCAAUCAGCGCUAGGUCCGCCUUGCCACCAAUCAGCUCCUGCACACAAAGAUCCACAGACAAACACAACACCCACUACAAACCAACAGGACGAACAGACCACUUACACAGAAAACAAGGACGAGAGAAAGAUCUACAGACAAACACAGAACACCCACUCCCAGACAACAAAACAAUUCAAAACGACAAACACAACAUUACCAAAAUACGGCCACAGCCGUAACAGUGCCAUAUGAUGAAAUAAUGUAAAAGAGGCCGUGAAAAACACUCCAGAAAGGUUUUCUUUGAAAAAAAAAAUCAUCAUGAAUUUUGGCGCAAAAAAAACGCCUUACUAUACUAUGUCGAAAAAAAAUGCAAUUUUUCAAACAUGUUGUAAAAACGUGUCAUAUGAUGAAAUAAUGUAAAGGAGGCCGUGAAAAACACUCCAGAAAGGUUUUCUUUGAAAAAAAAAUCAUCAUGAAUUUUGGCGCAAAAAAAAACGCCUUACUAUACUAUGUCGAAAAAAAAUGGGAUUUUUCAAACAUGUUGUAAAAACGUGCCAUAUGAUGAAAUAAUGUAAAGGAGGCCGUGAAAAACACUCCAGAAAGGUUUUCUUUGAAAAAAAAAUCAUCAUGAAUUUUGGCGCAAAAAAAAACGCCUUACUAUACUAUGUCGAAAAAAAAUGGGAUUUUUCAAACAUGUUGUAAAAACGUGC
Amphiprion ocellaris (clown anemonefish) is the source of this 1004-nucleotide long non-coding RNA. The record is from Ensembl. NCBI's taxonomy places the organism in Eukaryota, Metazoa, Chordata, Actinopteri, Pomacentridae.